RNAcentral lists this ribosomal RNA (409 nucleotides) under bacterium. RNAcentral describes it as "partial 16S ribosomal RNA". It matches the Rfam family "Bacterial small subunit ribosomal RNA", at positions 355 to 776 of the family's 1533-position model. The record is from RNAcentral.
UGGGGAAUAUUGCACAAUGGGCGAAAGCCUGAUGCAGCGACGCCGCGUGAGGGAUGACGGCCUUCGGGUUGUAAACCUCUUUCAGUAGGGACGAAGCGCAAGUGACGGUACCUGCAGAAGAAGCACCGGCUAACUACGUGCCAGCAGCCGCGGUAAUACGUAGGGUGCGAGCGUUGUCCGGAAUUACUGGGCGUAAAGAGCUCGUAGGCGGUUUGUCACGUCGUCUGUGAAAUCCUAGGGCUUAACCCUGGACGUGCAGGCGAUACGGGCUGACUUGAGUACUACAGGGGAGACUGGAAUUUCUGGUGUAGCGGUGGAAUGCACAGAUAUCAGGAAGAACACCGAUGGCGAAGGCAGGUCUCUGGAUAGUAACUGACGCUGAGGAGCGAAAGCAUGGGUAGCGAACAGG